This 393-nucleotide RNase P RNA is filed under the name Azospira inquinata. RNAcentral describes it as "Bacterial RNase P class A". It matches the Rfam family "Bacterial RNase P class A". From Rfam's summary of the family: Ribonuclease P (RNase P) is a ubiquitous endoribonuclease, found in archaea, bacteria and eukarya as well as chloroplasts and mitochondria. Its best characterised activity is the generation of mature 5'-ends of tRNAs by cleaving the 5'-leader elements of precursor-tRNAs. The record is from Rfam by way of RNAcentral. Lineage: Bacteria; Pseudomonadati; Pseudomonadota; Betaproteobacteria; Rhodocyclales; Rhodocyclaceae.
GAAGUCGACCAGGCAGCCGCUGGGACCUCUCUUCGGGGAGGGCCGGGAGGAAAGUCCGGGCUCCAUAGAGCGGGAUGCCGGCUAACGGCCGGGCGCUAUAAGCCGAAAGGCGAAGGCGACGGAAAGUGCAACAGAGAGUAGACCGCCGAUGGCUUCCCUCGGGAAGAUCAGGCAAGGGUGAAACGGUGGGGUAAGAGCCCACCGCAGGACUGGCGACAGGACUGGCUCGGUAAACCCCAUCCGGAGCAAGACCAAAUAGGGAAGCAUUAGGCGUGGCUCGCGCUGCUUCCGGGUAGGUUGCUGGAGCGCACUGGUAACGGUGCGCCUAGAGGAAUGGCUGCCACGGCGCCGCAAGGCGUGCGACAGAACCCGGCUUAUCGGUCGGCUUCACAC